UACGUAGGGACCAAGCGUUGUCCGGAAUCAUUGGGCGUAAAGAGCGUGUAGGCGGCUUGUUAAGUCUUGCGUGAAAUCUCGGGGCUCAACCCCGAGCGGUCGUGAGAAACUGGCAGGCUAGAGUGCGGGAGAGGAGAGUGGAAUUCCUGGUGUAGCGGUGAAAUGCGUAGAUAUCGGGAGGAACACCAGUGGCGAAGGCGGCUUUCUGGCCCAUUCUUGACGCUGAGGCGCGAAAGCUAGGGUAGCAAACGGG
RNAcentral lists this ribosomal RNA (253 nucleotides) under uncultured bacterium. Its description in RNAcentral is "partial 16S ribosomal RNA". It matches the Rfam family "Bacterial small subunit ribosomal RNA", at positions 524 to 776 of the family's 1533-position model. The record is from RNAcentral.